Molecule: ribosomal RNA, 153 nt
Filed under: uncultured soil bacterium
Lineage: Bacteria
Description: partial 16S ribosomal RNA
Rfam family: Bacterial small subunit ribosomal RNA
Source: RNAcentral
CCGCGGUAAUAGGGGAAACCCUGACCGAGCGACGCCGCGUGGGGGAUGAAGGCCCUUGGGUUGUAAACCCCUUUUGUUCGGGAAGAAAUGCGAUCAGGUGAAUAAUCUGGUCGUUUGACGGUACCGGACGAAUAAGCUCCGGCUAACUCCGUG